GAUGAAGAACGUAGCGAAAUGCGAUACGUAAUGUGAAUUGCAGAUCUCUCAGUGAACCAUCGAAUUUUUGAACGCACAUAGCGCCCGCCGGUCAUUCCGGCGGGCAUGCCUGUUCGAGCGUCAUUAAGUCCACUUAAGCCCUGCUUAGUGUUGGGAACCUACAGAAGCUACCCUGUAGCUACCCUGUAGUUCCUUAAAGACAGCGGCGGAGUUGUAGUACCCUCUGAGCUUAGUAAUUUUUUCUAGCUUUCGAGAUGCUACUGCUUCUGCCGUUAAACACCCUUCUUCUGAAUGGUUGACCUCGGAUCAGGUAGGAAUACCCGCUGAACUUAAGCAUAUCAUAACGGAGGA
This 351-nucleotide unclassified non-coding RNA is filed under the name soil metagenome. Its description in RNAcentral is "partial contains 5.8S ribosomal RNA, internal transcribed spacer 2, and large subunit ribosomal RNA". The stretch from base 1 to 123 matches the Rfam family "5.8S ribosomal RNA", at positions 35 to 154 of the family's 154-position model. The record is from RNAcentral.